RNAcentral lists this ribosomal RNA (484 nucleotides) under uncultured bacterium. Its description in RNAcentral is "partial 16S ribosomal RNA". It matches the Rfam family "Bacterial small subunit ribosomal RNA", at positions 30 to 507 of the family's 1533-position model. The record is from RNAcentral.
AUUGAACGCUGGCGGCAGGCCUAACACAUGCAAGUCGAGCGGAUGAAGGGAGCUUGCUCCUGGAUUCAGCGGCGGACGGGUGAGUAAUGCCUAGGAAUCUGCCUGGUAGUGGGGGAUAACGUCCGGAAACGGGCGCUAAUACCGCAUACGUCCUGAGGGAGAAAGUGGGGGAGCUUCGGACCUCACGCUAUCAGAUGAGCCUAGGUCGGAUUAGCUAGUUGGUGGGGUAAAGGCCUACCAAGGCGACGAUCCGUAACUGGUCUGAGAGGAUGAUCAGUCACACUGGAACUGAGACACCGUCCAGACUCCUACGGGAGGCAGCAGUGGGGAAUAUUGGACAGUGGGCGAAAGCCUGAUCCAGCCAUGCCGCGUGUGUGAAGAAGGUCUUCGGAUUGUAAAGCACUUUAAGUUGGGGGGAAGGGCAUUAAGUUAAUACCUUGCUGUUUUGACGUUACCAACAGAAUAAGCACCGGCUAACUUCGUG